Molecule: transfer RNA, 22 nt
Filed under: Dittrichia viscosa
Lineage: Eukaryota; Viridiplantae; Streptophyta; Magnoliopsida; Asterales; Asteraceae
Description: partial tRNA-Leu
Source: RNAcentral
AAUCCGUCGAUUUCAAAAAUCG